Molecule: small nuclear RNA, 106 nt
Filed under: Otolemur garnettii (small-eared galago)
Lineage: Eukaryota; Metazoa; Chordata; Mammalia; Primates; Galagidae
Source: RNAcentral
AUGCUUGCUUCAGCAGCACAUAUACUAAAAUUGGAACGAUAUAGAGAAGAUUAGCAUGGCCCCGUACAAGGAUGACAUGCAAAUUCGUGAAGCGUUCCAUAUUUUU